This 749-nucleotide ribosomal RNA is filed under the name uncultured archaeon. RNAcentral describes it as "bacterial SSU rRNA". It matches the Rfam family "Archaeal small subunit ribosomal RNA", at positions 102 to 856 of the family's 1478-position model. The record is from RNAcentral.
GGACAACCUACCCUGAAGAGGGGGAUAACCCCGGGAAACUGGGGAUAAUACCCCAUAGACUAUGGAUGCUGGAAUGCUUUGUAGUUGAAAGGUCCGCCGCUUCAGGAUGGGUCUGCGGCCGAUUAGGUUGUUGUUGGGGUAACGGCCCAACAAGCCUGUAAUCGGUACGGGUUGUGGGAGCAAGAGCCCGGAGAUGGAUUCUGAGACACGAAUCCAGGCCCUACGGGGCGCAGCAGGCGCGAAAACUUUACAAUGCGAGCAAUCGUGAUAAGGGAACUCCGAGUGCCUGUAAAAUCAGGCUGUCCGCCAGUGUAAAUAACUGGUGAAGAAAGGGCCGGGCAAGACCGGUGCCAGCCGCCGCGGUAAUACCGGCGGCUCGAGUGGUGGCCACUAUUACUGGGCUUAAAGCGUUCGUAGCUGGUCUGUUAAGUCUCUGGGGAAAUCUCCCGGCUUAACCGGAAGGCGUCUCAGGGAUACUGGCAGACUAGGGACCGGAAGAGGUGAGAGGUACUCCAGGGGUAGGAGUGAAAUCCUGUAAUCCUUGGGGGACCACCUGUGGCGAAGGCGUCUCACCAGGACGGCUCCGACAGUGAGGAACGAAAGCUGGGGGAGCAAACCGGAUUAGAUACCCGGGUAGUCCCAGCUGUAAACGAUGCGCGUUAGGUGUAUCGGUGACCACGAGUCACCGAGGUGCCGAAGAGAAAUCGUGAAACGCGCCGCCUGGGAAGUACGGUCGCAAGGCUGAAACU